This 423-nucleotide ribosomal RNA is filed under the name uncultured bacterium. Its description in RNAcentral is "bacterial SSU rRNA". It matches the Rfam family "Bacterial small subunit ribosomal RNA", at positions 362 to 776 of the family's 1533-position model. The record is from RNAcentral.
UCUUCCGCAAUUGACGAAAGUCUGACGGAGCAACGCCGCGUGAGUGAUGAAGGCUUUCGGGUCGUAAAACUCUGUUGUUAGGGAAGAACAAGUGCUAGUUGAAUAAGCUGGCACCUUUACGGUACCUAACCAGAAAGCCACGGCUAACUACGUGCCAGCCGACGCGGUAAUACGUAGGUGGCAAGCGUUAUCCGGAAUUAUUGGGCGUAAAGCGCGCGCAGGUGGUUCCUUAAGUCUGAUGUGAAAGCCCACGGCUCAACCGUGGAGGGUCAUUGGAAACUGGGAGACUUGAGUGCAGAAGAGGAAAGUGGAAGUCCAUGUGUAGCGGUGAAAUGCGUAGAGAUAUGGAGGAACACCAGUGGCGAAGGCGACUUUCUGGUCUGUAACUGACACUGAGGCGCGAAAGUGUGGGGAGCAAACAGA